CCUACGGGGGGCAGCAGUGAGGAAUAUUGGUCAAUGGGCGAGAGCCUGAACCAGCCAAGUCGCGUGAGGGACGACGGCCCUACGGGUUGUAAACCUCUUUUGCCGGGGGACAAACGGCGGCACGCGUGCCGUCCUGAGGGUACCCGGAGAAAAAGCAUCGGCUAACUCCGUGCCAGCAGCCGCGGUAAUACGGAGGAUGCGAGCGUUAUCCGGAUUUAUUGGGUUUAAAGGGUGCGUAGGCGGGAUGCCAAGUCAGCGGUCAAAUACGGGGGCUCAACCUGCGUCCGCCGUUGAAACUGGCGUUCUUGAGUGGGCGAGAAGUACGCGGAAUGCGUGGUGUAGCGGUGAAAUGCAUAGAUAUCACGCAGAACCCCGAUUGCGAAGGCAGCGUACCGGCGCCCGACUGACGCUGAAGCACGAAAGCGUGGGUAUCGAACA
Molecule: ribosomal RNA, 438 nt
Filed under: uncultured bacterium
Lineage: Bacteria
Description: bacterial SSU rRNA
Rfam family: Bacterial small subunit ribosomal RNA
Source: RNAcentral